UACGUAGGGGGCAAGCGUUGUCCGGAUUUACUGGGCGUAAAGAGCGUGUAGGCGGCCACGCAUGUCCGUUGUGAAAACUGGAGGCUCAACCUCCAGCUGUCGACGGAAACCGUGUGGCUAGAGUCCGGAAGAGGAGAGUGGAAUUCCUGGUGUAGCGGUGAAAUGCGCAGAUAUCAGGAAGAACACCAAUGGCGAAGGCAGCUCUCUGGGACGGUACUGACGCUGAGACGCGAAAGCGUGGGGAGCGAACAGG
This 253-nucleotide ribosomal RNA is filed under the name uncultured bacterium. RNAcentral's name for it is "partial 16S ribosomal RNA". It matches the Rfam family "Bacterial small subunit ribosomal RNA", at positions 524 to 776 of the family's 1533-position model. The record is from RNAcentral.